CUUUUUGUAUUAAUUUAAAGUCGUGUCUGCCCACUGAGUAUGAUUGAAGGGCCGCGGUAUUUUGACCGUGCAAAGGUAGCAUAAUCAUUAGUCUUUUAAUUGUGGACUGGAAUGAAUGAUUUGACGAGGUAAUUUCUGUCUUUUUUAUAUUUUUGGAAUUUUACUUUUGAGUCAAAAGGCUUAACUGUUAGAGAGGGACGAGAAGACCCUAUAGAUCUUUAUUAUUAAUUAUAGAAGAUUUUUUUGGUUGAAUGUUAUUCUUUUAUAAGAUAUAAUUUUGUUGGGGUGAUGGGAGAAUAAGGAAACUUCUUUUAGUUAUUGACUUUGAUUAACGAAUUUUAGAUCCUUUACUAUGGAUAAAAGAUUAAGAUACCUUAGGGAUAACAGCGUAAUUUUGUUUGAGAGUUCUUAUCGACAAUGAAGAUUGCGACCUCGAUGUUGAAUUAAGAUUAUAUAUUGGUGUAGAAGCUAAUGAUAUUGGUCUGUUC
RNAcentral lists this ribosomal RNA (488 nucleotides) under Kempiola flavipunctata. RNAcentral's name for it is "partial 16S ribosomal RNA". It matches the Rfam family "Bacterial large subunit ribosomal RNA", at positions 1833 to 2582 of the family's 2925-position model. The record is from RNAcentral. Lineage: Eukaryota; Metazoa; Arthropoda; Insecta; Orthoptera; Phalangopsidae.